This 30-nucleotide non-coding RNA is filed under the name Homo sapiens (human). The record is from RNAcentral. Lineage: Eukaryota; Metazoa; Chordata; Mammalia; Primates; Hominidae.
UGGGCUUGUCCAACACAGUGAUGCGGCUCA